UGUUUACAUGAUUUUUGGUGCUUGAAUUUUUUUGGUUUAUAAAUCUUUUUGAGGAAAGGUGUUUAGGAAUUCAAAAUUUUUGAGAAAGGAGAUGAUUGAGAAUCAUUAUUUUGAGGAGAGAAAUUUUUUUUUUUUUUUUUCAAAAUUGUUUAAACGGUGUUUAACUUUACAAUCAUAUUAAGUUAAAUUCAUAUUAAUUAUCGUUUUUAAUCCACUUUUUAUAUUUUGACGAUAAUUUAAUAUAUGAUUUCUUAAUGCAUAUAUUCAUCAAAACUUUGAAAUCAAAUUUGAUUUUUUGGUGAUUAAUUCAUCUUGGUUGUGAGUGUUGGAUAUGAUGAAUGGAUAUUCUCUAAUUGACUAAAAUUCGUCAAAAUUAUUUUCAACUGUGAGAUUGUCUAAUUUAGGGGGAGUUUGAAAUUGUUUAAAAUUUAAAAAAAAAGGGAAAAAGAUACUCCUAUGUUUAAAAGAUGUGGAAAGAGUUACAUCCUAAAAGGAGUGUGAAAACUACCACCACAUGUAGGAAAGAGCUACCACCCCGGUCGUCCGGCAAGUAUGUGAAGCUACCACAUGAAGAUUAAAUUGGGUAACCGAAAAAGGUUGAAAAAAAAUUGAAUAUUUUAAAAUUUUCGGAGUUUUAAGGUGGUAAGAUAAAAAGAUGCUCAAAGAGCCACCCCCGGUAUCAUAUUAGUUAAAUCUCU
RNAcentral lists this long non-coding RNA (698 nucleotides) under Ananas comosus (pineapple). RNAcentral describes it as "long non-coding RNA (ACOM_LNC039481)". Lineage: Eukaryota; Viridiplantae; Streptophyta; Magnoliopsida; Poales; Bromeliaceae. The record is from RNAcentral.